Molecule: ribosomal RNA, 443 nt
Filed under: uncultured bacterium
Lineage: Bacteria
Description: partial 16S ribosomal RNA
Rfam family: Bacterial small subunit ribosomal RNA
Source: RNAcentral
CCUACGGGAGGCAGCAGUGGGGAAUAUUGGGCAAUGGGCGCAAGCCUGACCCAGCAACGCCGCGUGAAGGAAGAAGGCUUUCGGGUUGUAAACUUCUUUUCUCAGGGACGAAGCAAGUGACGGUACCUGAGGAAUAAGCCACGGCUAACUACGUGCCAGCAGCCGCGGUAAUACGUAGGUGGCAAGCGUUAUCCGGAUUUACUGGGUGUAAAGGGCGUGUAGGCGGGGACGCAAGUCAGAUGUGAAAACCACGGGCUCAACGUGGGAACUGCCUUUGAAACUGGCAAACUGGAGUGUGUGAGAGGAUAGUGGAAUGCCAGGUGUAGGAGUGAAAUCCGUAGAUAUUAGGAGGAACACCAGUGGCGAAGGCGGCUUACUGGACUGUAACUGAUGUUGAGGCUCGAAAGCGUGGGGAGCAAACAGGAUUAGAUACCCGGGUAGUC